GGGCCCGUGGCGCAGAAUGGAUAGCGCGGCGGCCUCCUAAGCCGUAGGUCGUGAGCAGAGGCACAGAAGUGCUCCGCCGAUAGGGUUCAAGUCCCACCGGGCCCG
This is a transfer RNA of 105 nucleotides. It matches the Rfam family "tRNA". Rfam says of the family: Transfer RNA (tRNA) molecules are approximately 80 nucleotides in length. Their secondary structure includes four short double-helical elements and three loops (D, anti-codon, and T loops). The record is from Rfam.